UAUUAUGCUGCUGGCUAGAAACAAUAGCUUAUUUUUCCCUCAACAACUAGUAAAGUUCAUUUUAUAAAACACAAAAGCUAGAAGAAAUGGAAAACUGCAGAUGAUUCUACCAGCCAGGGCUCAUCAUGGAUUCGGAAACUUCAGAUACGAAAUAUCCCGCCUCAUUUACAGUGGGAGUGAACACUGACUCGGAAACUGCAGUUGUAAAUGUAACCUAUUCCAGUAAGGACCAAGCUAGACAAGCACUAGACAAACUGAAUGGAUUUCAGUUAGAGAAUUUCACCUUGAAAGUAGCCUAUAUCCCUGAUGAAAUGGCCGCCCAGCAAAACCCCUUGCAGCAGCCCCGAGGUCGCCGGGGGCUUGGGCAGAGGGGCUCAUCAAGGCAGGGGUCUCCAGGAUCUGUGUCCAAGCAGAAACCAUGUGAUUUGCCUCUGCGCCUGCUGGUUCCCACCCAGUUUGUUGGAGCCAUCAUAGGAAAAGAAGGUGCCACCAUUCGGAACAUCACCAAACAGACCCAGUCUAAAAUCGAUGUCCACCGUAAAGAAAAUGCAGGGGCUGC
Molecule: small RNA, 559 nt
Filed under: Pongo abelii (Sumatran orangutan)
Lineage: Eukaryota; Metazoa; Chordata; Mammalia; Primates; Hominidae
Description: processed transcript
Source: RNAcentral